GAAAAUUUGGCACUGUCAAGGUACUAUGAAGGUUCCCUCUUCUUUCAUUGGGCUAUAAUUAUCCUGCUUGCUAAAUUAUGUUAUUUUUCAAAUCAAAGGUCAAAACCAUCAAGAAGCUGUGCGCUGUACUUGAAUCUUUCAUCUCUAGUGUCGGUCCUUUUCUUUCUAUUCCAAUCAUUUGGUUAGGAUGGAGAAGAAAUUCUUGCAACUUGUAACUAGAAGUUGGUCUGGGUUUUUGUGCUAUUUGCAUUGCAUUGACUCGUCGUCAUUUUUUCCCUCCUUGGUUAAGUUCGUUGAUUUCAAGAUUGGA
This 310-nucleotide unclassified non-coding RNA is filed under the name Hevea brasiliensis (rubber tree). The record is from RNAcentral. Lineage: Eukaryota; Viridiplantae; Streptophyta; Magnoliopsida; Malpighiales; Euphorbiaceae.